GUUCUUUACAAAGAAAGCUGCCUAUUUUUCUUUUCUCCAGGGGAACUGCCGUGUAGGACAGGCACAAAGCUGGGAACAUAACCAAGGGCAGAAAAAAAUUCACCCCCGUGUUCUAUUUGUCAAACUGACCUGCGGGUCACAACCUGAGAGUUUAUGGAUCUGUGAGGCCUUGUCUCUGCAUAAGCGUGUUUUCUGGACUUUGGCUGAAGCUAAAUUCCUCACUUCUGAAAGAGGAGUGGGUGUGGACUUCCAGCAGGAAUAGCCAGUGGGAAGGAAGUAAUAUUCAUUAAGAGUGUCUCAUGCAAGCAGUGCGGGGCUAAGCAUGCUCAGUGUAAAUUCUCCUGUAGCCUGUCAAGCUAUGUUUGAACUCGUUCCAGAUUCCUGGAUUUACUUUUUUUUUCUACCAGGAAGAAUGCUCGAUUAGACUGCAUUUUGCUCUGCUUUUCUUUUUCUUUCUUUCUUUCUUCCCUUUCUUUUUCUUUUUCUCUCUUUCUUUCCGCCAGAAGAUUGGAAACAAUAUUCUUUUCCGAUCAGUUCAGUAAUACAAUGUCCUUCAGUGUCCACAUGAGCGUUUCAGUGAAGAAGAAAAGAAACUUUGCUACCUGGGAACUGAAGACUACUUAGAUCAGUGAAUGCUAAUAAAGUCCUUAAGGACUUGCGGAGCCAGGAGUUAACUUUUCUCAACUAUUAAGUGAAGAUGCUGGUGUUCCACAUCCAAUUGCUCUCGUCUUUCCAAGACUGUGGCACUCCAGGAAAUCUUCCCUACUGAAGGGGGACCACGAGCUACAGUAUCUCUUAGAUGAAAUCAACCGCAUUGCAAACUAAAAGGAAGAAAAGUAACAAAGAACUUGAAGACUUUCAUGACUCCCAGGCCCUGGAUGGAGGCAGGCGGCACCAGACAGACAGAACCAAGAAAUCAGAGGGGCAGCCAGGAGGUGCCUGUGGCUGCAGAGCCCAGAAUUGUCUUUGGAAAAGAUUGAGAAGAGCCAGUAAACUUGGCUUCCUAACUUCUGCUUCUCAUACACGGGCGAAUGGUUUGAAGAUAUUGGCCUAGCAAGAUGGCAACGGGUUUAAAAAAUUCAUAAGAUUCAUAGGAUUCAUAAGAAGUUACUUUUUUCAGACAUGUCAAACCCCCAAACGAGAGAAGAUACUGAGGCCUGUUGCCACAAACCCGUAGAUCCGAACUUGUGGUGAUAGUCCACACAAGCUUGUGUCUAUAGGUAUGUGUCUGUUAGGCAAUCUCACAGACCGCGGGCUUUGGCUGUAUGCCACUCAAUAUCCCUUCAAAUACCUUUAUUCUCCCUUUCUUCCCCUUAGUUUGCUUUAAGAGUGGUAGAAAUGGAAAGAGGGGCUGACAUGGAGGAAGGAGAACUUUUGAUCUGAAAUGGAUGAGGUUCUUCGAUGAUUAAUUUAUAGGCUUGCCUUCAACUUCCUUAUCUCUUAUAACUACUCUGAGCCGUCAAAUUAAGAGACUGGGCUUGCAGGUGAGGCGGCAAGAAUUUCUGUGACUCAGACAGCUUACUGUUGAGUGAUGAGUAAAUUGAUACAUAAACAAGGGUUUGUUUUGUUUUCUGUAAGCCUGACUAAUGGUUUUCAGAGUUAUUAUGAUCUUUUUUGGAAACUGACAGAGACGUGUUUUCAAGACCUGUUUCACCCUAGUUUGAGUUAUACCUUACAGCAAUUCUUCCUCACUCAUUGCUCUCCAAGCGCAGUCAAAUCAGUCCUUAUCUUUAAAAAUAAAACUAAUGAGAGGAAUGAAUGUGCUUAACUAUUUAUCCUUCUAUAAAUACCCAGCACUGUAAGAAAAAGAACUUUUUAUAAAAAAGAAUUAGCCUGUUUAAGUCCAACUUCAUACUUGGCCAGGGCUGUUUUAUAAGUCUUCACCAUGUUUAAAAGGCUGGAAUGAAAAUAAUUUUAUCCCCUUGCCUCUUAAAUGUCACCAUUGUGCCAGGAUUGGAAAGCCAAACUGACUAGAGAUCAAAGCAAAACUGGCUGUAUUUGUCUCAUUCCAACAAUGUGAGCUGAAGAGUCUGUAAACAGAACCCAGGGUGAAAAGUUGAUCAGAUUUGGAUAACUCUUAAACUUUUGCAUUCCCUUUUGGUCAAACAUAGUGCCAGGAAUUCUCGUAAGAUUUUUUUUUUCUAUGCAGCCUCAUCUAGCAAAAAGAGUUCAAUAUGAAGUAGUUAUUGAGUUAACAUCAGCAAGAAGUUUGAAACUCAAGUAGAUACAUUUUAUUUCAUUAAAUUCUGUUUCCUCUUAAGAGCCAUGCUGUUCAGGGAUAGCUAGAACUCUUUCGUUCAUUGAGUAUAUAAAAUGCAAUUUUGUUUGUUGGAAUUAGCAAGGCCCAGAUAGAGAUCACCUACGUUUAAAGGGUAGAAUCAAGCUCUGUAGAUGCUGCACCCAGGGGAUAUUGUGUAUAUGCAUUUCCUUUGCGUUUCCCCUGCAUAGCGUUGAGGAGGGUUGUCUAUACAUCUCAACUUUCAGCUUGCCAAGAAAUCAUUGCUUUACUAUGGAAUGAUGGACCUUUACAUCCAGAAGAGAAAGACUGUCUCCACUGGUGUGUAUCAUGUAUUAUUGUUUGCCCAAGGCCUUUAUCCACCCAUUAAGCAAAUAAUCUACUUGGUUGGUUUGACAUGCCUCUUUGAAGUGGUUGACUUAGAAUGGAUAAGCUGCUAACAAAUUAAACUUGUACCUUCCCUGGAUAAACACUUGUGUUUGAUAAAAGCAAAAUCACGUCUCUACUCAUCAUCCCUUCAACCUGUUGUUAAGUGUGCUACCAGUGGGACCAAUGGAGUUCCUGAAUCUAAGGGGACACUGAGCUGCCUGUAUUCCCUGUACAGGGACAAAACAAGGGCUGCAGGAUGGCCAGUAGGUGACUGCCAGGUUGUUACUUUUAAAGAGGUUUUUUCUUUUAAAGAGGUUUUUUAAACCCAUCACCCCAAGCAAAAAGAUUAUGCAGAACAGUCAAUCUUUUCAAAGUUUCUAAAAGAACUAAGACGUUAUUAUUUGAUUCACCUGGCUAGAAAAUAUUCUAGUGGAAAGCCCAAAGCCUCUGGACCCUGGCCCACAAGAAACAGGAUAUUAAAUAUUUUACAUGAUGAUGAAAUUCAGUAUUUUUCCCUUCUUCCAUGUUCAUGAAUGAAUGGUUCUGUAGAUACUAAUUAUUCUCUUGAGGCUCCCUUCAGAGUGGACCACAUAUUCUACAGGAAGUUGCUGAAAGUAAAAUAAUUUCAGGUUUCCCCAGAAAGACUCUAAAAAUAUAUAUUCAAUAGUCAUUACUACAUUCGUUUUCCCUAGUUUUAUUAAAAUUCUCAAAUCACCACUAUCAAAAUACAUUUAUUAAGCUGUAACACCAGGAUAUAGUUUAGAUUUUUUUAAACAGAAAAAAAUAAUUCUGAUUCCAAGAAUUGUGUUCGAUAAAGCAAUUCAGCUCUCAUCACCAGAGUUUGGAGGGGAGAGAAGAGCUGAUAUUUAGUUUGAAAAGGUUUCUUGUUUGUAUUCCAAAAUUAACAAAUGGAUUUCUCUACAUGGGAAGAAAAUGGUCUGUGUAGGGUAGAAUUAACUUUGAAUUUUAAGUUAAUAUGAUUUCUUAUUUUUCGUUGUGCUUACCAAUCAUUCCCCAAGAUCUGUUAGGUCCUGUGGAUCCUUGUCUGCUGACUGUGGCAUUUAAUCUCACCAAAUGUUAUCAAGCCUCUCUAAUUACGAUUUUAAAAGCUUCUUAUGCCUGUAACAGCACUGAAAUUUCACAGAGAAGUCAAUAUGAGUGACUCUUCAAAAAAUGUCAAAGAUUUAUUAAUACCUAACAUGGUGCUCAAUAAAGUAUGAGUUGGAAUAAAGCCACUUUUUUCUUUCAGUGUAGCCAUAUGGCUGGAAAAAUUAUAAGUUUCAUUCACUCUCUCAUUCAUACAACAAACCUUUAUGACUCCUUACUGUGUGUUCAGUACUUUGCUAAAAGAGUGAAGAUAUAACUCUGACUUCCAAAAACUGAUUAUGUGGUCAUGAUGAGUCCCUUUGCAGAAUUGCAUGUCAAGCACACUGGCACGAAUUUUAAUGAAUCAUGUGUUUUAAUCAUAACAUUUGUCCAACUUCCCAAUGCCUAGUCAAUACAGAACAUGUUCCCUAACGGGGAGUCCCUGCUUUUCCUUUCUAUCAGACACUCAUAGCAUUGUUUGAGGUUCAUCCUCACUUCAUUUAGGGGGAUUGCUACUGGUAGCACUUAAAACCUCGAUGUUCAGUAGACUGAGGGUGUGUCUACUUGUAGUCAGAAUACCUUUGGAAUGUAUUUUUUAAAGUUAAAGAGUACAAUAGAUUCUCUAUACCUAAAGAUAUAUAACUAUAGUUCUUCUGUAAAUGCUACUUAAUUUAUUUUUUACUUCCUCUUUUCAAUAAGACUUUUUUGUGACAUCAUUCCAUAUCAUAAUUGCAUGUUGUUAUUACAUGCCUACAAAUAUUUACACUAAUUAUGUAAUGAGCCAUAAUUGCACUAAUACAUGAUAAUGGGGUAAAAUCAGUGUAAAUAAACAAGGAAAUUCACACAACCAAAAGAGCAGUGUAUUGAAAACCAUUAGUAUUCUAAUGGCAACAUCUUUUUAUCUUUGACCCCUAGAAGAAGAAUGUACAUGGAGAAAGAUGAAUUUUUCCAUUUCCAGAUAUUUAAAAGCUCUGUUAGCUAUACAUUUAGGCUAAUAUGCUAGCAGCCUAGCACACUGAAACUUAUCCUCUCUUUGUUGUAUUUUCUUUUGGCAACUCUUACCUGCCCCUCCACUGCCUUGUUUCCCAUUCAUAAGGGUUAUAUCCUGACUGUGUUUAUAGAAUCAGGCAAAUGGCCAAUGCAGGGAAAAUGAAAGAAAUUCAAGUGCAAAGGAAAGAAAAUGAAAUCUAUUUUCUUUUAGUGUCCCAGUGAAUAUUAAAUCUUAUACAUGAGUAUCUAGAGACAGAUGACUCACAGUGACUCCUUGAAUUUCCAUAUGAGAUCCAGGAUUUAAGGCAAACUUGCCAGGUUGAAUGCAGCCACUCUGCAAUUGUUUUCCCCUCUGGAAUCUUGAUAGCAAAUCUGCCUUACUAUGAUUGAAGUUACAAAGCAAGUGGAAGAAUAAGGGACCUGACAUACAAAUAAAAAUCACCUGGCCCUUCACUUUAGGUUCAUUAAUACUUCCACUUUAUCCAUUCAUUCAUAUAUAUUUUUAUUUCAUUCAACAAACAUAUUUUUAAGUCUCUACUGUGUGCCAGGUGGUAGGCUUGGAGGUGGUACCAGACUUGCAAAGAAGAGUAGCUCAGCCCCAUAUUCAAGUAGCUCAGGGACUAGUUAAGGAGACAGAUAAAUUACAAUGCAAUGGUGUUAGGGUUAAACUAGAAAUGUGUAUAUGAAAUUAUAAGACAAUCAGAAGAUUUCUUUGAAUUGAGGCUUGAAAGAUAAAUGGGAGUUAGCUUGGUAAAAUGAAUUUCCCAGACUUUCCCCCAAAGCAGGUCACAUUGAUCCAACAGAGAUAGCCUCCUCAAAAUAGCAGCCCCAUUCCGUAAAAGCUGCAUGAGGGAAUAGGGUGGUAAAAGUGGAAAAAUAGUCCUUCUCCAGGUUAGUAGAGUAGCAUGAAGAAACACCAACUCUGCAGCGUUUCUAUCUAUCUUUUGAACACAAUCAGCACCAUAGAAUUAUCACUCUUUGAUUCUCUAUGUGUGGAGACACUCCUCCAUCUCUAUAUGCCUAGGUCCAGCUCCUUUGUGGAACAGCCUUUACCAGACAAAACCAGAGUCCAGCUAAGCAAUGAGGAAAGGCUGCCGUCAAUAGACCACAGAGCAGUCCUCAUGGGAAAAUACAAACCGCACCAAACGUGAGUUCGCAUAGAGAUAGGAAGUCAUCAAGCUUGUGAGAAUCUGUCUGCUACUCCAUCAUCGACUGGAGCUAAAGAUAAAGGAAAGACCCCAUUUAAAAUUAAAAGUACAAACAGGGAAAUUUACCACAUUCCCUUAAAAGAAAAAAAUACAGGGUUACAUUUUUAUAUGUUGCUAAAUAAACUACUGGGGACAGACUUUGUGAAAAAGUGUUGAAACAGUCAACUCCAGAAGGAGGGCCACUUUAACAACAUGUGAACUAUGUAAUGUGUAUAAUAAAUACUGUUGCGUGAAUGUUGAACAUAGCUUCUAUAUUAUAUGUUUACCUUUACUUUGCUCAGAAUCCUGUUAUCUAUAUCUUUUCACUGUGUUUUGCCUUAAACAAUUUUCCCUUGUUUAUUGACCCUUCAGAGAUUCCAGUUUUACAGUUUCACAAGGGAAACAUUUGUUUUCCUAAUCCUUUUUUCAAUUCUCGAAGUUUACAUAUUGGUCUACUUUGUAUUCUGUCAACAGAUACCAGAAGGCAUUAGAUUGAGCAGAACAACCACCAUUAUAUAACAUUACCGUAAUUUUCAUGCACAAAUAAUUUCCUGGAGGCCAAUCCCAAGUAUUUCCUCCCUUCCUGUCUACACACUAAUUUCAAAUCAAGGUUCUUGUGUUAGUUUCUCUAUUGUCAGACCCUUUGAUGUGUGAUCUCUUGUGAAUGGCCCAAAUAGGUGACAGCACGAAGAAUAAUUAUAAGACUAACUUGCAAUUUCAUUGCUUAAGAAAUGGUAGCUUUCCAGCCAUUGUGACUGCAUGUUCCCAGGUUGAGGUAGUAGGUUGUAUAGUUUAGAAUUACAUCAAGGGAGAUAACUGUACAGCCUCCUAGCUUUCCUUGGGUCUUGCACAAAGCAACAUGCCAAGAAUGAUCAUGAUUCAUCCGGGCCUUUUUUUCCUAGGAAAGCGUAUGAAAGGUAAGAUUGGGUACUGGCAUUUUAGAAUUCAGGUUUUGUUUAAUUCUUGUACCCAUGUUGUAUUUUCAUGUUCUGUUUCUUUGGAUUUUGUGUUUUACCAAAAACAUGAGACUUUGAGAGAUUCCAUAUAUCAGUUACCCAUUGUCACAAUAAUGCUGCUUAACAAACACAAAACUUUAGUGGCAUACAUCAAUAAAUAUAUAUUUAGUUCAUGAGUCUAUGGAUCAGUGAUUUAGACUGGGCAGUUUUUCUCGUCUUGGUUGGUCUCAUUCAUUCUGGCUGUCAGCUGUCAGAUGGGGUGACUAGGAUGACUGGGGCAACUCAGUUCUAUUUCAUGUUUCACGUCCUCCAACAGGGUAGUUCCAGCACAUUCUCAUGGUUAAAACAGAGGGGAAAGAACAAGAACAAGCCAAAUGGCUUAAAUAUUUUGCAAGCUUCUGCCUGCUUUAUGUUUGCUAAUAUCUUGUUGGUCAAAGGAAGUCAGAUGACCAUGCCUGGAGCCAGAGAGGAAGAUGCUACAAAGUUUCUGGGCAAAGGGCAUGAAUCAGGAAAGCAAGACAAAUCGGGGCCGUUUUCGCAAUCACAUUGAACUUUCUUGGGUUUCAUCAAGUUGAAAGUAAUGUGUACCCUCCAUCCUCAGAAGCUCCCAAGAUCAAGAACCAUGUUUGUGAAUUCAUACUUUGGAAUUUAGGAUAAGCUGAUCUUUGUCUGAAUGCUAUUUAUGUCCCUGUUAACAAGAUAUACUCCAACCAACUUUUGUGGAAAAAUCGCCAAGAGACUGGAAUGGUAGUAAUGUGGGGAUUGAUUAUAUCAGAUUAUAAGGCUCAGUCAUUUCAUGGUGAUAGCCAAUGUCAUGAAUGAUAGACAUUUUGCCUGACUUAGACUGAACUCACACAAUCUACACAGAGCAUAUGAGCAGCAAACCAGCAUUAGAAUACAAAUCUGUUGGCUAGAAUGGGGUUGCUCCGAGCCCAGACACUUUUUCAAUAGAAAAUACAGACAGGUAGUCAGAAGGUACUUAAUGAAAUUAUUUAAUCCACUACAUUAUUUUUCUGGCAUUUUAAUAUACAACAUAGGUAAAAAAGAAUGGUUUUGCAGCCUUUCUUUCUGAGCUACCUUAAAAAAAAAAGACGAGAUCGCUGUGUCAUCAUUUUGAUUCCAUGCUCAAACAUUUUCAUGGUGCAUCAUAGUGAUUGUUACCUUACUAGGAAGUCAAGGAUGACUAGCCCCAGGUUGAUGAUGAAGCACAGCUAAAGGUUCAGUGUUUUAGGCCAUCCUGAAAGUUUACAGCAGAACUAGAAGCAAAGGUCUAAGGCUCCUGUAUGGUCUUCAUUUCUUGGCUUGUUCAUUUAUCCUUUAGAAGGGCCUGUGGCCUUGCUCUAGAAGACACUGUCAUUACUUUGUCACAUUUAUUAUGAGUUUGACAUGAAACACAGUUAUUACCUGUAUCUGUGUUGGAUAAGAGUUUGUGUAUUAAACAUCUGUAGCCACUUGACAUAUAAGGACCUACUUAGUACUGUUUAUACAUUUAUAUAGCUUUUUUAAAAAAAUUGAGUUAUCUUCUUGUACAAGACAAUAAAAUCCUCUCCUUUUCAGUAGCAUAAACUUAAGUGGUUUCAUGCAGCCAUGGUCCCUAAAGGUAAAGUAGUGUUUUGGGGUCCUGCUUCUGAAGACAAAGUAAGUUUCACAUAAUUGAGUGUCUACUGACUUGGUAGUCAGGUUGCAUCUGCUAGAGUUUAAACAGUGCCCUGUUUGCUUUCUGAAUGGCUAUGGUGUUUGGGAGGUCAUACUGUUGUGUUUUUCAGCCAAUAGCUCAUGGUAAGACAAAGAGUUUGGGAACUGCAAGGAAAAUAAAUUAUGUUGGAGGCCACUUUAGACACAUCUUAGUGUCAGUUUCAGCAGUAGUGGAUGGGUAAAGUAUUAUUCAAAAUGUUUCGCUUCUUAUGUCCAUCUUUGGUGAGUAUGAGCUCUGUUUCCUCAGGGAAACUCUUCACUGAAUUUUAUAUCUGACAAUCAUUCUUAGUCCCAGAGAUCCAAAAUACGCCGUUAAUACAAAUCACCACAGUAUCUUCUGGAAUUAAUCUUAGGAUUUAAAAAGAAAGAAAAAGAGUUGCAGAAUGCUGCAUUUUUUAAUAUCAUCAAGAAAUUAUAAUAUCUUUAUGGGUGAUGUAAAUGUUAUUUUAAUUUUCCAGAAUCUGGUAAUUUAAUCCAGCUAUUUUCCAGCACAUUGAUAAGCUUCAAAACCUAAAUGUGUCGCUGGCAUCUUGACCUUCUUCAUCAAUCACGGAAUGUUUUGCUGAUGCAAUUUAAGGAGACUCUGGCUAGUCAGAAUAGCGAGUCUACAAACUUUCUGGAAGACAGGUCAUUUGUACUUCUUUAUUUGCAUGCAUCAGACUCUUUUUGACUUGGUUUAUCAGUAUGACUAGUUAGAGACAUUUAACUAGUAUGUGAUAACGCAGUCAGUCUUCUUGUACUGGGUAAGUAUGCACUUCCAAAAACAUUCUUAUAACGGCAAACACUAGCCUCUUCAAAGUUGGCUUUGGCUCAUUAUCUUCUCUGACCUUUCUGAAGACCCACGGAGAAAUGAGUAAACCAAGCUUUUCUUACCUAUACCAAUAUAUAUUUUCUAAAUACUUAGUGCAAGCUUUGACUGCAAAUAGAAUAACACCUUACAUCAUUACUCUUCUUGUACCACUGUACUAUUUUCCCCUUAUCUCUUGCCCUCCAAAUUCUAACCCCACCAAAAUACUUGUUUUUCUGUUCUGAGUAAGGCCAAUCUCUGGUGGUCUUUAAUAGCCUAUUUUUCUAACAGUUAUACGUCCAAGUUCUAUUGAAAGCAUCUUUUAAAUAGUGUAUAUCAAACUUUAAUUGAUAUGAAUCUACAGGGAUCUUGUUAAAAUGCAGAUUCUGAUUCAGUGGGUCUGGAUGGGGCCUGAAAUUCUGCAUUUCUAACCAACUCUUAAGUGAGGCUGAUGUGGUAUAUGGAACACACUCUUAGGUAGUAAGGUUUUGCAUAAUCAAAUUCUUCUAAAUUCCAGGAUGUCCAGGCAUUUAAGCUGAGGGCAAGAAUUUGGCGACAGUUUCCCAUCUUUAGAUAAAAUCCUUCCUUUAGUUGUAGUCACACAGCUUAUCUUCUUAAAAUAUCUUAGUUCCUUUUCACUAAUACACUAAUACAUAAGACUCAGCACUAUGAAAGUUACAUUUUAGAAAUAGGGACAUUGUGACAUUGAAUAUAGUCCUAAAGAUCUUCAUAUCAUAGUAAUCAUUCACUCAAUAGAAGCAUCUUUGAAUAGCACAUGUAAAGAGAAUUCAACUGGGGACAUGAAUGCAAGUACCAAACCUGGUUCUGCAGUACUCAAAUCACUUAAACUUUCUGAAAAUCAGUGUCCAAAUAUGUAAAUCCAUGGGCUAGAACUGGAUAAUAGCUGAGGUAUUUUUAAUAUAGAAUAUUCUAGAAUUCUGGGAUUGUCAUUCAGGAAUCUUAGUGUCUAGGAGUUUUCUUCUUAGCCUCCAUAUCCUCCCGUCUUAUAACAUGAAAGAGGAUAUUCCCAAUUCUAUCUCUGGACUUCAAAAGAACAUGAGCAGAAUGGUAGGAGAUACAGCUUUUUUGUGGUCUGAGCAUCAAACUUGAGAGGAGGACAUUGCUGAGACUUAACAUUAAUUAAUAAUGUUUAUUCAUGUAAACCUGCAUCAAAUGGUAUUCUACAUGGAGGAAAAGCUGUGGAUGCUAAAAAAAGAGAACUGAAAACUAGUCUUUCAUGAACUCAGUUAUUGGACUGUUCCACUGGACCCAGAACAGAAUCUGCGUCUAACUGAAGUCUCACCUUUCCAUGUUUAUUUUGGAUGUGGUUGCAUUUGCUGUAUCUUAUAGCUCUUAAAUUCUGUCUUCAAGUUGACUUUAUGCAUUUUAUAUUCAACAUUUACUGAGUGCCAGUCAUAGUGCAAUGGGCCAGAGAUACAGAGCUGUAUCUCAGUCUCUUAACUACAAUCACAGUGCAACAUGUCCUGCAUAAGUUAUGCUUACAGUGCUGGAGGGUGCUGAGGAGGAAGAGACUGAGAUCAUCCAAAGGAGCCAAAGAAGACAGCUGAUCAGGAAUGUCUCCCCAGUGAAAGGACAAAGACUACAGAGACCGAUGCACUGAAGGACGCGCAAGCCAACUAUGAAGUUGAAACAAAGAAAGCCAUCACCUGAAGAAACCUCUCCUGCUAAGCAGCACACCCAAAUGGGACAGUUUCAGCCAACAGAACUCUCAGAACAAGAGGCAAUCUUUUCAAGAAACGGAAAAACUUAACAACAUCUAGAUUAGAUUUCUAAGGAGCCAAGGACUUUCCCUUCCUCGUGUGUAUUCCUCUGUUUGUAUUUAAAUUCGGUGUGACAUUCACUUUUUAAAAUUUUUCCUAGUAUGAACAUGCUUAUUAAUGCAGUGAUUUUAAAAUCAAAAAUGGCACAAAUGUGUUAAUGUUAUAACAAAAUUAAUGCUAUAAGUAGAUUGAUUUUUAGCCACACACAGAGUUUGAUCUUAAGAGUAACCUAGAGAAAAUAAAGUACUUUCGAAAUAACAACGGAGUCAGAGGCAAUCCAAAGGAUAAAAUAGCGGUGUAAAACACUCAUAAUGCAGCAUAGAAAUAUCAAAUUAUUCCACCUGACACCAACAAUCAACCAUUUUUUUAAUCAAGUAAGCUAGGUUCUGUGAGACAUCGUUACUACUUCUAGAGUUUAAAUCUAGUCAGACAGAGGUACAUAAACUUUUGAAAAGAUAAGUAACAAAUUGGGUCAAUAGACGAUAAGAGCAAAACCAAAACAAAAUAAAGGAUACAAACAAGGAGCUUAGAGGAGGUCACCAUGAGCUGGACAAAACUGGUCUGUUUAGGAAGAAAGUUCCCAAAGGAGGAAAAUAUAAGAUGAAUCUCAAAGGAUGUUAAAGAUUCAGAUAAAUGGAAAGGAAGGAGAAAACAGAGUCCUUCAGAUGGAUCAGUUUUGUGAGCAAAACCAUGGAAGAAGGAACCUGCUUGCUGAGUUUAGGAAUUAUGAAUACACACAUCUAGUUGACUUCACCUCAGACAUUCAAUGCCAACAUAUAUAUACAUAUAUGGUAAAGAAUUUGCACACACAUUUCCCCUCUCCCACUCCAGAUUUCACCUAGAAUUGUAAUUGCAUUUCUCUGCCAUUAAAGCAAAUGAGAGUGAUUGGUGAUUAUAAGGAGAACUUGCGAUUUUUCUGUUAAGCUAAUAGUAAUUGGUAUUUAUUGAGUUCUCACUAUCUGUUAAGCAUCUUACAUAUUAACUCACUUAAGCCUCCCAACAAUCUUGCAAAAUAGGUGUUAUUAUCCCUAUGUUACAGAUAAGAAAACUGAGGUUUAAUGAGAUUAAGUAACUUGCCAAAGUGCCGUAUACAGGGUUUAUAUUCAGAAUUGCGAUUGCAAAGCUCACGAUCUAUCUAAAGCAUGAAGUCAGAAUGUUGUGGUCAAUGUCACCAUAUUGCUACUUCUUCUGUACGCUUUGAUGUUUUUCUAUGGUAAACAAAUAGUUACUUUAUUUAAUUAUCCCAUAAAAACUUUAAUUUUCUGGUUAAAACACUUGAAUAAUAGAAUGUAUUUUCAUGAUAGAAAAUUGAAAAAAUUGGGCAACAGAGGUUUUCAGCAUUUUAGGCUUUUUUUUUUUUUUUUUGCCAGACUUUAAUGAGGUGUUCACUUUGGUCUGCAAGAAAUCUCAAAUUCUUGAGAAUAAUUAAAAGGGAGGUGGGAGAGCUUAAAGGUCAUCUACUGUAAUGUUCUUUUUCACAGAUGAGAUAAAUCCAUAUAGUUAGAGUGACUUAUGGAAGAUGACGCAUUUGAGUGUGGCGGAUCUAGGUCCAGAAACCAGGCCCUUCAGUCUAGUCUCAGAGGCUCUUGAACUACUCCACCCUGUUCAAGUAGAAACUCGAAUUUGAUCAAUGAAAACGUUCUAUCUGCGUGAUCAGGGAGCAUUGUACCUAGUAGAUGGCUUCAAUUCUGCACCUCUUUGGCUUCUCACCUCGAUGGGACAAAUAGCUAGCUGUGAACUAACAUCGUUAGAUCCAGAAAUUGUCAACAGUCCAUCCCCAAAGAACACGUAAUGGCCCAAGUUGUGUGUACAAUGUCUUCAAUGAUAUUCUUAAGUUAUUUGGAAUUCUCAGUUUACCCAAACAAAUCAGAUCUCCUAAAGAGCAUUUUCUUAAUCAACUUAGUGCACAGUAUGUAUUCAUAAGUGCUUCUGAUGACUAUUUAUACAUGAUUGUUUCAAUAGUUCUUAUGUUUUUGAAAAUAUCAAUAGUUAUUUGCUAUUUUAAUCCUCACUUAUCCAUGUAACUAACUCAAGAGUACUUCGGCAAUAAAAAGCUAGAGUUAAGGAAAUUUCACUUUUCUUUAUCAGCCCCUUUACAUUUGGUUGGCAUUUAGUAAUGCUUAAUAAAAUGGUCAGGUGGAUAACACAGAGGUUCCAAAUGCAAUUCUGUCUUGAAGGAGUCAAUUAAGCUGGGAUUGCUUAAGGACAAACAUCUAGAUGUUUGGAAGUACCUGAAUAUUUGACUGUUGUAAAUUUCCACUUAGGUAUCUGGCAUUGUCAGACUUAGACCUCCUUGUGGCUCAGCUCGUCCUUUUUUCAAAAUGAUGAUUAUUGGCCAUAUUUCACACAGUUCUCAUUAAGUGAUUUUUAAAUAAACAGGAUUUUUUAAAGAGUAGCCAAGCACAAAAUGUGACUUUGUUGACAUUUUAUGAGACUUUGUCAUAUGUCCCCCAAACCCCCAAUAAAAGCAAUGUUGCAUCAACUGUGAACUUGUGUUGAUUUCUUGAAAGAGCGUGCUCUCAUAAUUCGUUUUCACUAGUGUAUAUAAAAGCUAAUUUCAGGAUCCACGAGGAUCAAAUAAUCUAAAGUGGUGGGAAAAUUGAAAUUUAGAGACAAUUUCUAAACCAUCCCAUGUUGCCUUUGAGUAAAAGACACUAUAAUCUACCCAAGUCAGAAACCAAUGUGUGAUCCUUGUCUUUUCUCUUUCUACCUGACAUGGGCAGUCAACCAGGUAAAUCCUUUUGAUUUUUCCUUCUUUUUGUUUUCAAAUACGUCUCCUUUUCUCUAUCUUUUAUGUGACUAUGGUUAAGUCAGCCCUCAUUUCUCACCUAGACUACUGCAUCAUGCGUCAGAUUUCUCUUCCACACAGCCAAGUAGGAGCCAGAGAAAUCUGUCUAAACCACAAAUAUGAUCAUAUUAUUCCACAAUUUCAAACUUUUCAGUGGCCUCCCAUUGCCCUUUGAAUAUCAUGACACCUAAAACCCUUCGUAUCCUGAAUCCUGACCCUCAACACUCCUCUCUACACUCAUGAAGUACCUCUCUCCCACUGCUUUUUUUGGUUCUUGCCAUACAUCUUUGCCAUUUUUAAAUUUAAUUUUCUCUUUAUCUUCUGGACUUUCUCACAUACCUGACCUUCUGUUUAGUGUUCUCUCUACUACCCCUUCCAGAGUCCAUGUCUUGUCCUUCAGGUCUCGUCUUAGAAGUCAUUUCCUCUUAGAAGUCUUCACCCCAAGCAUCCACUUCCCCUAACUACUAGCUUCCCCACCUCGGUGCUCUCGUAGCAUUCUGUGUUUACCUCCUAUUGG
RNAcentral lists this long non-coding RNA (14392 nucleotides) under Equus caballus (horse). RNAcentral describes it as "lncRNA (ENSECAG00000057849.1)". The stretch from base 1162 to 1231 matches the Rfam family "mir-10 microRNA precursor family". The record is from RNAcentral. Lineage: Eukaryota; Metazoa; Chordata; Mammalia; Perissodactyla; Equidae.